This 73-nucleotide transfer RNA is filed under the name Paramuricea clavata. It matches the Rfam family "tRNA". From Rfam's summary of the family: Transfer RNA (tRNA) molecules are approximately 80 nucleotides in length. Their secondary structure includes four short double-helical elements and three loops (D, anti-codon, and T loops). Lineage: Eukaryota; Metazoa; Cnidaria; Anthozoa; Malacalcyonacea; Plexauridae. The record is from Rfam by way of RNAcentral.
GACCGCGUAGCUCAGUUGGCAGAGCAUUGGGCUGGUAUUCCAAAGGUCGUAGGUUCGAUUCCCACCGUGGCCA